RNAcentral lists this non-coding RNA (21 nucleotides) under Chlamydomonas reinhardtii. The record is from RNAcentral. RNAcentral also lists the same sequence under 1 other name. Lineage: Eukaryota; Viridiplantae; Chlorophyta; Chlorophyceae; Chlamydomonadales; Chlamydomonadaceae.
UCUGGUGCCAGCAGCCGCGGU